GGCGAACUGGUGAGUAACACGUGGGAAACCUGCCCAGAAGCGGGGGAUAACACCUGGAAACAGAUGCUAAUACCGCAUAACAACUUGGACCGCAUGGUCCGAGCUUGAAAGAUGGCUUCGGCUAUCACUUUUGGAUGGUCCCGCGGCGUAUUAGCUAGAUGGUGGGGUAACGGCUCACCAUGGCAAUGAUACGUAGCCGACCUGAGAGGGUAAUCGGCCACAUUGGGACUGAGACACGGCCCAAACUCCUACGGGAGGCAGCAGUAGGGAAUCUUCCACAAUGGACGAAAGUCUGAUGGAGCAACGCCGCGUGAGUGAAGAAGGGUUUCGGCUCGUAAAACUCUGUUGUUAAAGAAGAACAUAUCUGAGAGUAACUGUUCAGGUAUUGACGGUAUUUAACCAGAAAGCCACGGCUAACUACGUGCCAGCAGCCGCGGUAAUACGUAGGUGGCAAGCGUUGUCCGGAUUUAUUGGGCGUAAAGCGAGCGCAGGCGGUUUUUUAAGUCUGAUGUGAAAGCCUUCGGCUCAACCGAAGAAGUGCAUCGGAAACUGGGAAACUUGAGUGCAGAAGAGGACAGUGGAACUCCAUGUGUAGCGGUGAAAUGCGUAGAUAUAUGGAAGAACACCAGUGGCGAAGGCGGCUGUCUGGUCUGUAACUGACGCUGAGGCUCGAAAGUAUGGGUAGCAAACAGGAUUAGAUACCCUGGUAGUCCAUACCGUAAACGAUGAAUGCUAAGUGUUGGAGGGUUUCCGCCCUUCAGUGCUGCAGCUAACGCAUUAAGCAUUCCGCCUGGGGAGUACGGCCGCAAGGCUGAAACUCAAAGGAAUUGACGGGGGCCCGCACAAGCGGUGGAGCAUGUGGUUUAAUUCGAAGCUACGCGAAGAACCUUACCAGGUCUUGACAUACUAUGCAAAUCUAAGAGAUUAGACGUUCCCUUCGGGGACAUGGAUACAGGUGGUGCAUGGUUGUCGUCAGCUCGUGUCGUGAGAUGUUGGGUUAAGUCCCGCAACGAGCGCAACCCUUAUUAUCAGUUGCCAGCAUUAAGUUGGGCACUCUGGUGAGACUGCCGGUGACAAACCGGAGGAAGGUGGGGAUGACGUCAAAUCAUCAUGCCCCUUAUGACCUGGGCUACACACGUGCUACAAUGGAUGGUACAACGAGUUGCGAACUCGCGAGAGUAAGCUAAUCUCUUAAAGCCAUUCUCAGUUCGGAUUGUAGGCUGCAACUCGCCUACAUGAAGUCGGAAUCGCUAGUAAUCGCGGAUCAGCAUGCCGCGGUGAAUACGUUCCCGGGCCUUGUACACACCGCCCGUCACACCAUGAGAGUUUGUAACACCCAAAGUCGGUGG
Molecule: ribosomal RNA, 1349 nt
Filed under: Lactiplantibacillus plantarum
Lineage: Bacteria; Bacillati; Bacillota; Bacilli; Lactobacillales; Lactobacillaceae
Description: bacterial SSU rRNA
Rfam family: Bacterial small subunit ribosomal RNA
Source: RNAcentral